RNAcentral lists this ribosomal RNA (301 nucleotides) under Mesacanthion sp. 5 TJP-2010. RNAcentral describes it as "SSU rRNA". It matches the Rfam family "Eukaryotic small subunit ribosomal RNA", at positions 111 to 414 of the family's 1831-position model. Lineage: Eukaryota; Metazoa; Nematoda; Enoplea; Enoplida; Thoracostomopsidae. The record is from RNAcentral.
UAUAGUUUAUUAGAUCUUACUCUACUUGGAUACCUGUGGUAACCUAAGAGCUAAUACAUGCAACUAAGUCCUGACCGGAAGGGAAGGAUGCAUUUAUUAGAACAAAACCAAUCGGGCUUGCCCGCUUUUUGGUGAAUCUGAAUAACUAUGCUGAUCGCACAGUCCACGUACUGGCGACGUAUCUUUCAAAUGUCUGCCUUAUCAACUUUCGAUGGUAGUUUACACGGCUACCAUGGUUUUCACGGGUAACGGAGAAUUAGGGUUCGACUCCGGAGAGGGAGCCUGAGAAACGGCUACCACA